RNAcentral lists this non-coding RNA (109 nucleotides) under Corynebacterium mustelae. Its description in RNAcentral is "TPP sequence". It matches the Rfam family "TPP riboswitch aptamer (THI element)". From Rfam's summary of the family: Vitamin B(1) in its active form thiamin pyrophosphate (TPP) is an essential coenzyme that is synthesised by coupling of pyrimidine and thiazole moieties in bacteria. The previously detected thiamin-regulatory element, thi box was extended, resulting in a new, highly conserved RNA secondary structure, the THI element, which is widely distributed in eubacteria and also occurs in some archaea. Analysis of operon structures identified a large number of new candidate thiamin-regulated genes, mostly transporters, in various prokaryotic organisms. The record is from Rfam by way of RNAcentral. Lineage: Bacteria; Bacillati; Actinomycetota; Actinomycetes; Mycobacteriales; Corynebacteriaceae.
AGCUGUGACACGGGGUGCCACGCCGCCAAAAGUACGUGCGUGUGCUGAGAAUAUACCCGUUGUACCUGCCUCAGAUAAUGCUGACGAAGGGAUGUCUUUAUCAUGUUGU